RNAcentral lists this long non-coding RNA (907 nucleotides) under Suricata suricatta (meerkat). RNAcentral's name for it is "lncRNA (ENSSSUG00005018602.1)". The record is from RNAcentral. Lineage: Eukaryota; Metazoa; Chordata; Mammalia; Carnivora; Herpestidae.
GUUUUCAAAGGGCAUGGAGUUCUUCUCUGACCCACAGCAAAAUGGCUGCUCGGUCACCAUCUUAAGUUGCUGGUUACUUAGUGGAAAAGAUCAUCUUUGCUGCUCUAUCAAGAGUGACUCCAGUGUUAUGGAGCACUGAUGGCUCCAGAAACAGUCAGCUCCGUCCCCUGGUUUCCAGAAAAGUGAGAAAUGGCAGUUCAAAAGGGCACUCAAGUUUUUGGACUCAAGCAUGGUUGGGGAAGCACACAAGGCUGAAGGAUACCCAGCCACCCUGCUAAUGCUUCCUAUAAAACUUGGGGAUUUUAAGAAGAAGGAUAUCAAUGAUUAAGCCAUCUUUGGAGGCGGGGCACCGAAAUGGAAAAUAAAAACCAACCCUUUCUCUACUUCUGUGGAAAUAACCACUGGCAAAAUGGGCAGAGGUUCUAAGUGCAUUUUCAUUUUGCAGAAAGUAACGUAGAGUUGGACCCAGCGCACAGAACGCGGGCCAGGACGGUGUAGUCAGUGCCUGCAGAGCCCAGGACUGAUGCUGUUGCCUCGGCGGAUUUCUUGCAGCUGGGGAGCCGGGGCAGAUGAGGACAGGGGCGUUAAUCAUUUCCCGACGCAGCGAUCUUAGUCACAAGUUCCUGCUAAACGUGAAAUCACCCCCUCUGGUUGAAAAACAGCUAAACACUUUUUACUCCAUUCGCUCGGCAAUUUCUCCCUUUCAGGUUAAGCACAUGGAAAUUUGUUCAGCCAUUCCUUUUACGGCACCGGUUCCAUUAGUUGUUCCCCAAAGCCGGAGUUUAUCUGAUUGUGCAGCAGAUGGAAACUUCAGGAUAAAAUUCAAUGGCCAAAGGCUGAGGGAAGUUUACCCUGGCUGUGGCUAUGAAGAGGAAGCUGAAGAGGAUAGUAUCUGUGAGCUGGCCCG